Molecule: long non-coding RNA, 7692 nt
Organism: Phyllostomus discolor (pale spear-nosed bat)
Lineage: Eukaryota; Metazoa; Chordata; Mammalia; Chiroptera; Phyllostomidae
Exons: 4
Source: RefSeq, a predicted model, not a curated record
AGAAAAGCCCAGAGGACCCGGUGCCCUGGUGUGCGGGUGCUCCCGCACGCACGCGGCGGGCUGGGUGGCGCGCGCUUCCCCUCCCCCGCGGCCCCAGAGCGCGAACCCGUGACGUCACGGACCUCCCGCCGGCCCCGCUCUCCACCGGGCCGAGCGCGUGCGGCCGCCGAGCACAUGGGCCCUCGGGCCGUGCGCGCUCCGGGCGGCCUGGACCCGGAGGAACUGCAGGGGCCGGGAGCGAGGAUGGGCCCUGGUACCCCUCGGCACCCCCCGGAGUGGAGCUCCACGCGGAAAGGAUGUUGGCGGCCCCGGUGACACGGCUUGGAUCCACCUUCCAGCCUGACCUUGUGACCAGAAAGGAAUGAAAAGGACACCCUUCCUGAAUGAUGGCCAUCCCUGUCCACUGCAUGGAGCUUCGUUCAAGGAUUUCCUGAGCCGUGUGGAUUUACAAUGAUAUUCAGCUGCCUGGGGAAUCACGCCGGUGGAGGAACCUUCCCUGGAAUUACGCAUACCUGGCACGUUUCUGGAUGCUGAAGGUGGUGGGAAGGAAGGCCCCCUCGGAGUGCCUCGUGGAUUCCGGCAGCCCAGAUGCUCAAGGGGGAAGGAGGACCACCGCUUCCUGUGCAGGCUGAGCUCCUACCUUGGACAAGAAUGUUUGGUUGGGUCUUUCCAGACCCCCAUGGGGGCUCCCUAGGAAACAAUCCUGUUACCUGGAAUGUAGGUGCCUUUAAUCUGGGGAAAAAAAAAACAACCCAACACGUAUCCAUUCAACACUCCAGAGGGAUGUGAGAACUGGCCCUUCCUGAACUAAAAUUGUAAUGCCUUGAGAUCUGGACGAUUCAGUGUGGCGUGGUGAACUGAUGACAAGGCCCCGCCUCUUCAGCCGCUCCCUGCUUCUCUGAUGCUGGACUGGAGCACAGGACUUGCUUUGUCCACGGGGGCAUUAACAGGCACAUUGCAAGCAAAACUUUGAGAAAGCAUUUCCAUGUGCACUCUUGGACUUCCGCCGUCACCAAGGGAAGGACGUUCUGAGCUAGCGUUCCGGCUCUCGGAGAAGGAUGAGAGACACACAGAACAUAACGAUGGUGCUCUAAUCCUCCGAGGGAGACCAGCCUAGACCAGCUGACCACCAGCCACUCCUAGACCCCUGAGUGAGCCCAGCCAAGACCAUCCGAGCUGCCUGCCUGGCCACCCAAGCACAUGGACACUUAGUGCUUGUGCCGCGGAGGUUGUGUUGUUACACGGCAUUUUUAAGUGAUAAAUGCAAUGGGAAUAUCAAGAAUAACUUAUUUGGUGACUUGAAUUCUGCAAGGGCGGGGGUUGCCUGGCCCUCAGUGUAUUGUCUGGUAUAUCAGGUCCCUUUUGUCAAGUGAUUGGCCGACAAGGACAAAUCUGGUAGCCCCUCUGUGAACGCACUCAGCACCUGACCUUGCCCGCUUCCUCUACUCAUGAGCAUCUCUCUGUUCAGCUGGGAUCGCUGCUUGUCCCCUCUCCCCUGGUUUUCUGUUACAGCAGAGGUGCCGUUUGUUGGACAAGUACAGAGUGAGUGAGGCAGUGAAUGGGAGAGAGAGAAAGCCUGCAUGUGCGUGCAUGUGUGUGCAUGUGUGUUGGGGAGUGGAGUAGCUGAAGUCCUAGCUUUGAACAGAACUGUAGUCUCUGCUGAUCUACUGAGUAACUUGGGUCUUAACCCGCAAGGCAAGCCUGCUAUCUGUGUUCCUUCAGCAGGGCUGGAGUGGGGGCAGGGAACAGUUUGGCACUGAUACUGGCUUCAGAACGGACCAUAGGGGAGCUACAUGAAGGUCCGCCCCCAUAUUUUGGGCACAUGCUCUCCAUGCAGUAGUUUUUGGCCAUUCCCAUUUGGUCCUCGCUGCAAAGGAGAAAUCGCCCUUUCCAGCUGAACCGUGAAAGCCCUUCCCUCAGCGGCACCCAGUGCAUGCCUGGGGGUGCAGCUGAGUAGGGAGGAACAUGAGUUCUUAGGGGCAGGGCUUCCCGCCAGCGGGGCAGCUUCUUUUAAAGCCCAUCACGCCCUCCAGGGACCUCAGCGGACACCCAGGCAGGUUCCCCCAGGAGGAGGGGUGUGGCUGGCCCAGGGUUACACAGUUUGACCAGGUUAUGUGACAUACCUUCCAAGGCCCUUCCUUGGCGAGUCUGGUUGGGGUCGCAUGGAUCAGUGGGCGUCACUGAGAUUCCUUGCUGGUAAGUUUCCUGGUCUCCACAUCAGCUCCUUAAAAGAAGCGGCCCAGAGCACUUUGCAACCCCAGAGCCCCUGGGAGAUGCUGCUUCCACCUGGCCGAGGAGCUGUGCAGGGAAUCCCCCAUUUGAGUACCGACGUGCCCGUCCUCCCACCUGCCAGCUCAGAGCAGGGCCAGGCCAGGAAGGUUACUGGGCCUUGGCUCAGGCUGGCGCUGGCUGGGCAGGAGGCGGAGGGAGCGGCGGGCAGAAGCCCUGCUUGGCCAGCCGCCUCGGGCACCUGCCAUCCUCCCGUGUUUGCUCAGCGGGUCCGGAGAGGAAGCAGGAUGCUUUCUCUUGGGCCCUGGGCGUUCCCGGCCUCGGGGGCCAGCUGCUGGGGCUGGCACCUUCUCUGAGGAGCUGUCUUUUGCCCUCUUUGUACUGCCCUCUCUCAUCUACCUGACAAGCAGGUAAUAAUCUCACUAGCACUUAAGGUAACCCCGGGGGGGAAGGCAGGCGGCCUGGCUAGUGUGCACGGAACAAACGCUGGCAAGGGGCCCAGCAGCUCCACGUCAAGCACCUUCAGCCCUGGGGGUAGAGAUGCCCCCUCGGUGGCACCUCCAAACAUCCUGCCGCACACCCUUCCCCACCUCUUCGCCACGUCAGGAAGUGUUUGCUGGAGUUCGGGCCAGAGCCUCCAGCGACACACCAUCUGCCUUUAAUAGGACGUGAGGAAUGAGUGAAAUCCACCCUGAGUUUCAGUACAGCUCCUUCCUGUUAGAACCACAUGAGAGACGGGCUAUAAGGCCUCUCUUACCCCCAGGGGCUUCCUGCCUCCCUAAGACAGAGCUCUACAGUCACCUGCGUGAGAGAGCUUCGUGGUGUGCAAAGCAUCAUCGCAUACACUAGCUCACCCGUGUGGGCCUCCCACACCCUGGGAAUGAAACGGUACUAAUGGCCCCAUUUUACAGGCGAGUUAACUGAGGCCAAGAGAGGCGGAGUGAGUCGCCCAGUGCCUGCAGGUAGAAGAGGCAUCUGAGCAGAGACCGGAAGCCAGGUCUCCCCUCUACAAAUCCAGACUUCCUUCUCAUUCAUUCUUUGGUGCUUGCAGACAUUCAGGAACACGCGGGUUUCUCUCUGGGGUUUGUGCUCAGACAAGAUCAGAGUGUCGGGAAAGGAACGAACAGUUCCAUGAGCUGCCUUUGGCUUUGGCUCUGGCUCUGGCUCAACCAAACAUGGUAUUGAUCUUUGAGACAGGUGCCAUUUGGCCCCAUAUUACACUGCAGAAGCCGGGGUCCCCAGAGGUGAAAUGGCUCUUCCCGAGUUCCACAGGAAGCAGGGGCCGAAGGUGGCCUCCGGUGCCUUGGCCUUGUUCUUGCUCUCCUCAGGCCACAUGACCUCCUGAGACCAGCUGUGCUAGGUUGGUGGGGGGCAGGAGCUGGCACACCUCCUGGGAGGGCCCUGGGGGCACCCAGAGCUGCCUGGUGCUCUGCUCCCCCUUCAGAGGGAAAGGCUCCGAGUGCAGCCUUCUCGCAGCCUCCUCCUCCCAGCUGUGCUCCAGUCCAGAGUCGUGGGCGUGUGGUGGGAAUGGAGUGAGCUGGGGGGCCCCGGCUCCAGUGCCCUCACUCACCAACUAAGAAGUCAUUUGAGGUGAUGUGACGGGCCCUGACCCACGGAAGGGGCGGCAGAGCUUGGAGUGGAGUCCAGGCCCCUGACCCCAGGCCUGUGCUCUGAGGCUCCCCUCCUGCCACCUCCUGGUCCCUGACCCCAAGCUCUCCUAUGGGCCUCCUGGCAUGGCCCUUGCUCACAAGAUGCUGUGCAGCCCCCACUGCCUGUCCUGGGUCCCAUGUAUGUGUGGCUGUCAUCUCCAGGAAGAACACGAGACCCUCGGUGGAGGGGACAGAUGUGACUGCCUUCGGAGCUGGGUGCAAGCUGGGCCUGCAAGUUGGUGGAAUCUGGGUUCCAGCCCUACUUAUGUGGCCCAGGGCAAGCUGUGUGUUGUCCCUCAAGUUACAUGACUGUCGCUUUCCCCCACCAUCCCCUUUGUGCUCUCCUGCAACAAUGACACCCCCCCACCCCACCCCACCCCCCGGUCCAGCACUUAGAAGGUGCCAGGCUCCCGUCCCACAUGGCGGUGAUUCCCCUGGGAGCAGGCCACGUGAAGUUGGAAGAGCAUUUCACUGGGGACAGGCUCCUAUGUUGUAGGCUUACCCCACUGCCAACGUGCUGAUGCGCUUGCUGGCCAGUGUCAUUUACUGAACCCUCCAGGCACCGAGGCUCGGGGGUAGGUCACAUGCCCGAGGUUGCAGUCGAUGACAGAGUCUGGAGGGAAGCGUGGGCAUCGGUCUGGAGGCCCCUGUGCCACGGGACAACGCUCUGCCCUGUCUUCACCCUGGAGAAGUCCUCUGUUGCUCUGGCUCACGGCUGGCCCCCCUGCCCGCAGGUGUCGGACCCGCAGUGGGUGCUAGUUCUUGGUGGCUGAGUGGAGAAACAAAGGGACGAAUGUCCUGAAAUGCAUAGACUCCUGACUGACUCCUUUGAAUUUCCGACAGACACAAGGGGCUGCCAUGUGCCAGCCGGUGCCACCUGCCAAGCCACAGCCUUCCCCAGCCUCAGGUGCCUCCUUAGGCAGAGGGCCACACCUGCCGGCUGCCCAGGGUGCCCGCACCUUGCCCCGCUCCCCGCAGCCCUCCCCCUGCAGCCUCCCCUUCCCGCCCUCCAUCCCGCCGCGGGCUCCCGCCAAACCAGCCCACAACGGCCUCCUUUUGUUCUCUCAUCUCAGUUUCAGGCAGACCAGUCCAGCCCGGCCCCCCAGCUCACUCUGCACACCCCUUUGAAGCCUUGACAGUUGGCCAAUGGAGCUGGCCGAGUGCACGGAGGCUGGGGCCGGUGCCAGGGCCUGGCAGCCACUUCCCGCCUUGCCGGCUCCCCGGACCUGGCGUUUCCAGGGCCCGUGCCCACGGGGACGGAGAUGCCAGGAUGUUCGCUUUGCCCUCAUGGACAUGCAUCCAGGGCCGCCGGCUGGGCCGUUCCCACAGCCCGGAGUCCUUUCUCCUGCGUCCCCUGUGGUGCAGCCCUCUGUGUGGCACACCACCUUGGGUCCCGCAGCGGAGAAUUGUAGCAGCAAGGGCCUGGCUGGGUUCUGCACUCUCUAAGGAGAGGCAGGAUGGGAUGGGGACGGGGACAGGAGCACAGGCCUUGACUCUGGUGUCGAGCACCUCACUCUGCCACCUCCAGCUGUGGGACUUUCCUGCUUCGUGCCUCCAUUUCCUCUUCUGUGAGCUGGGAGAACGGCAGACCUGGUUCACGGCCGUCCAGUGAGGAGGAAGCAGAUGCUGUGGGUUAGCACAUUGUGGGCAUUUGAUCACCCACCGGUUGCUGGAGCUCGUGAUCAGUGUGUGGGGUUGUCGCUGGAGUUGCUCGGAGCAUCGGAGCGCUGGGAGGGGCAGGGGGCUGCACGUGAGCCCUGCGCAGCCUGCGGAGUUCCGGCCUUGUCCCCCGCACUACUGGGUGACAGCUGUUAUGACUCCUAUCAAAACUCCAUGUGCAAAUGAGGGGUCUUAUGUUCUUAUGUCAUAACCUUAAAAUACAGGGUCUGUGCGCAAUUUAGGAAAUUCAGAUAAGUGAAAGGAAAAACCAAAAACCACUUGUCAUCUACUGUUCAGAUACGUGUCGCCAGGUGCACACACAUGCAGUGAGAGACUGAACACUUGUCUCCUCUGGGUUCACAGGUGGAAGCCCUGAUUUAUGUGAUGGUAUUUGGAAGUGGGGUCUUUGGGGGGUGAUUAAGGUUAGAUGAUGUUAUGAGGGUGGGGCCCUCCUGAUGAGAUUAGUGACCUUAUAAGGAGAAAGAGAGGCCAGAGCUCCAUCUGCAUGAGAGCAAAGAGGAAAGGUCAUUCAAAGAUACAGGGAGUGGAUGGCUGUCUCCAAGCCAAAAUUCAUGUCCUCAGGAACUGAACUGGCUAGCACCUUGACCUUGGACACCCCGGCCUCUAGGAUGGCAAGCAAUAAACUCUGUUGUUUAAGCCCCUCAGUCCCAGGCAGGCUAGGACACAUACACACUGAAAGGGCCAGCUUAAAAACUACUGUUUGUAUUAAACAAUUCGUACACACACACAUGCUUGCCUACAUGUACAUGUAUUUGAGAAGGUCAAGUUUCUGUUAAGAGCUUUUGCCAUUUAGCAUAAGGCGCACUUCUCUCCUGUUAAGGCAUUUGUCUGCACAUAAAGGCCACAUGGCAUGUCAUAAUACAAACGUGCCGUACCCACUUCCCAGAGGCGGAAGUUGCCUCAGUGAGAAGCAGAGUAAGUCCCACAAGGUUGCCCAGCUGCUUGGGGCAUCGCUGACCCCCGGCGCUUCUCCAGGAAGGUCUCUGCGGUGCCCCGGGGCAGAUUUCACAAGAAUCUGAGUUUUAUGAGAAUGGGGACCGCGUCCUGCUGAGUCUCCAUCGUCUCUAGGGCACCCACCACGAGGUGGGCACUCUUCACAGAGACUGAGUGAAAGCUGUGUCCAUUUCCCUUUCGGUCACUUUUCUUCUUGCUCAGACCUCAUCCCUGCGCCCACUGUGUCUCCCCACGGGGCCCCCUCGCUGGCUGUGUCCUCCUCAGGCCAGGCCUGCGUCCCACUGGCUCAGAGCAGGCUCCCUGCAAGUGAAAGCCGAACUGGGGAGACGGGGACUUCAAAUCCAUCCUGGAUUCGAGGCAGCACCCUCCCCAUGAGCUGUCCCAACCUCUGUCACCACAGGCAGGGCUUCAGGUCCCUGGACCCAUCCGGUUGUGAGUGACCCACCUACUGCCAUUGGUCCAGGAAUGACUUGGAUAUCAGCCCCUGCCUGCCACACCUGGUGUUGGCACACCUGGGCUCUCCCAGAGCAGACCUAAUGGCCGAGGUUUAGGUAACACCUGGGGCCGUUAGGAGGCCAGGCACCUCCUCUCUGCGAGUCUCCAGGGCUGCGUGUCGGGUGUCCGGUAGCUGGCAGGGGAGGGGGCCCGGGAGCCGCUGCUCCCUUGUGUCUGCUGCCAGCAGGGCCUUGGAUGCCCACAGGGGCUGCCUGCCCAGCCAGGGUGAUUGUGGAAGACAAAAGGUUCAUAAAGCUGCACAAAUGAAAUGAAAACGACCCAGGAACUGCCUGGGAGCUUAUCACCCUGUUUCCGGGUUGUUGGUAAGGGUGGGGAGGGCGUCAGGGAGCAUUCUGGGCCUCGUGAUGGCCUGCACGUUUUGUCGCCCUGGGGUCAUGGACCCGGCAUUAUCCUCAAAGUCCUUGGGAAGUCCCUUGGCCUCUCCAAGCCACAGCUUUCUCCUGUGUAAAGUGGGUGUUAUGAGAGCAAACUCUUGGAGCCCUGGUGAGCAUUCGAUGAGUUGAGAUACUUAAAGGGCCUGCUACGUGGUACUCUAACAAUAGUAACAGUAGUCACGGCAGCGGCAGCUGAUGCACACUUAGGAUUUAUUUCGAGCCAGACACCGUUCUAAUUGCUUUGCAUGUAUGUACUCAUUUAACCUUUGGGAUGACAUUAUGAGGUAGGU